CAAUAGCGUAUAUUAAAGUUGUUGCAGUUAAAAAGCUCGUAGUUGAAUUUUUGCUUGCCGCCGAUGUCGGAACUUCCGUACGUUCGGCGGCGUGCAUCCUUGGGUGGAACCUGUGUGGCAUUAGGUUGUCGUGCAGGGGAUGCUCAUCGUUUACUGUGAAAAAAUUAGAGUGUUCAAAGCAGGCUUACGCCGUUGAAUAUAUUAGCAUGGAAUAAUAAGAUAGGACCUUGGUACUAUUUUGUUGGCUUGCGCACCGAGGUAAUGAUUAACAGGGACAGUUGGGGGUAUUCGUAUUCCAUUGUCAGAGGUGAAAUUCUUGGAUUUCUGGAAGACGAACUACUGCGAAAGCAUUUACCAAGGAUGUUUUCAUUAA
This 373-nucleotide ribosomal RNA is filed under the name uncultured eukaryote. RNAcentral's name for it is "partial 18S ribosomal RNA". It matches the Rfam family "Eukaryotic small subunit ribosomal RNA", at positions 592 to 976 of the family's 1831-position model. The record is from RNAcentral.